This 702-nucleotide ribosomal RNA is filed under the name uncultured Methylobacter sp. Its description in RNAcentral is "bacterial SSU rRNA". It matches the Rfam family "Bacterial small subunit ribosomal RNA", at positions 222 to 916 of the family's 1533-position model. The record is from RNAcentral. Lineage: Bacteria; Pseudomonadati; Pseudomonadota; Gammaproteobacteria; Methylococcales; Methylococcaceae.
GAGAUGAGCCUGCGUUAGAUUAGCUAGUUGGUAGGGUAAAGGCCUACCAAGGCGACGAUCUAUAGCUGGUCUGAGAGGACGAUCAGCCACACUGGGACUGAGACACGGCCCAGACUCCUACGGGAGGCAGCAGUGGGGAAUAUUGGACAAUGGGCGCAAGCCUGAUCCAGCAAUACCGCGUGUGUGAAGAAGGCCUUAGGGUUGUAAAGCACUUUCAAUUGGGAGGAAAACCUGCCGGUCAAUACCCGGUAGCUUGACAUUACCUUUAGAAGAAGCACCGGCUAACUCCGUGCCAGCAGCCGCGGUAAUACGGAGGGUGCGAGCGUUAAUCGGAAUUACUGGGCGUAAAGCGUGCGUAGGCGGUUCGUUAAGUCAGAUGUGAAAGCCCUGGGCUCAACCUGGGAACGGCAUUUGAAACUGGCGGACUAGAGUUUAGUAGAGGGGAGUGGAAUUUCAGGUGUAGCGGUGAAAUGCGUAGAUAUCUGAAGGAACACCAGUGGCGAAGGCGACUCCCUGGACUAGAACUGACGCUGAGGUACGAAAGCGUGGGUAGCAAACAGGAUUAGAUACCCUGGUAGUCCACGCCGUAAACGAUGUCGACUAGCCGUUGGUCCUAUUUACAGGAUUAGUGGCGCAGCUAACGCAUUAAGUCGACCGCCUGGGGAGUACGGCCGCAAGGUUAAAACUCAAAUGAAUUGACGG